This 745-nucleotide ribosomal RNA is filed under the name uncultured bacterium. RNAcentral describes it as "bacterial SSU rRNA". It matches the Rfam family "Bacterial small subunit ribosomal RNA", at positions 33 to 773 of the family's 1533-position model. The record is from RNAcentral.
ACGCUGGCGGCAGGCCUAACACAUGCAAGUCGAGCGGUAGAGAGAAGCUUGCUUCUCUUGAGAGCGGCGGACGGGUGAGUAAUGCCUAGGAAUCUGCCUGGUAGUGGGGGAUAACGUUCGGAAACGGACGCUAAUACCGCAUACGUCCUACGGGAGAAAGCAGGGGACCUUCGGGCCUUGCGCUAUCAGAUGAGCCUAGGUCGGAUUAGCUAGUUGGUGGGGUAAUGGCUCACCAAGGCGACGAUCCGUAACUGGUCUGAGAGGAUGAUCAGUCACACUGGAACUGAGACACGGUCCAGACUCCUACGGGAGGCAGCAGUGGGGAAUAUUGGACAAUGGGCGAAAGCCUGAUCCAGCCAUGCCGCGUGUGUGAAGAAGGUCUUCGGAUUGUAAAGCACUUUAAGUUGGGAGGAAGGGCAGUUACCUAAUACGUGAUUGUUUUGACGUUACCGACAGAAUGAGCACCGGCUAACUCUGUGCCAGCAGCCGCGGUAAUACAGAGGGUGCAAGCGUUAAUCGGAAUUACUGGGCGUAAAGCGCGCGUAGGUGGUUAGUUAAGUUGGAUGUGAAAUCCCCGGGCUCAACCUGGGAACUGCAUUCAAAACUGACUGACUAGAGUAUGGUAGAGGGUGGUGGAAUUUCCUGUGUAGCGGUGAAAUGCGUAGAUAUAGGAGGGAACACCAGUGGCGAAGGCGACCACCUGGACUGAUACUGACACUGAGGUGCGAAAGCGUGGGGAGCAAAC